GAUCUCUCAGGGGCAAGCAUGUUUCUCUUGGAUAAGAGUGGGGUGAAAGGCACUAUCGAAGUCUGAAUGCUGGUUGCAGAAGAUAAUUUGAAGAAUGGGAACAUUAAGCCAUACUCAUUCAACCUACUCUUUAAGAGUUUGACAGGAGGGCCUAUACCUGCAUAUGCUCCCACCUCCAUCCCAAGGGGAAAAAGAUGUCAAUGGAUGUUAGUAUAAGCUUCCUGAAGACCAACUCUCAAACAGACAAAUUUUGGACAAAAUAUGAAAAACACCUGCCUAAAGAUCUGGAGAGUAGUCAUCCGCAGGCACAGUGUUGAAGGGAGUCAAUGUGGAGAAGCAAAUAGCAAAGGGGCUAGGCUAUCAAAAAUAUCAUGGCUUCUGUCUUGGUGCCUCUUGGAUUUCACACUCUGGGGGAAGUCAGUCCACAUGUUGUAAUGAUGCUCAAGCAGCCCAUGGAGAAGCCCCCCUGAAGAAGAACUUGAAGACAAUAACCGGAAACAUGUGAGAGCGCCAUCUUGGAAGCAGAUUCCCCAGCCCAGCCAAGUGUUCAGAUAGCUGAGACCUGCCUGACAUCUUUCCUGUAACCUCCCCAGAGACCUCAAGCCAGAGCCACACAGCUAACCACUUCUGGAUUCUGAAAUGUUUAUUGUUAUGCGGACUUUCAGAGUUACAAGAGAAUUCAUGGAUUCCCUCCUCUGCCUCUUCAAGAAUCUGAUCCAUGGCCUACUUGACAGAUGACCUUCCUGCCUCUGCUUGAAUAUCUCCAGGGAUGGGAAGCUCACCACUAGUUGAGCCAGUUACCGACACAUGGCUUUGAAGAGCUAUAUGACUCCCUAUAAUUCUAACAGACUACUGGGACUGGGUUUUAGGAUUGUCUCUCCCAUUAGAGAACUGGUAACUUUGGAACUGGAACUUUUAAGAUCAGUGUAGACUUGGAUGGGGUUCAAGAUUCUAGUGCCUGCCACCAGUCUGCUCAUUCUCUUGAGAUAAGCUCAAAUACAUCAGUAAUAAAG
RNAcentral lists this long non-coding RNA (1013 nucleotides) under Equus caballus (horse). Its description in RNAcentral is "lncRNA (ENSECAG00000055652.1)". The record is from RNAcentral. Lineage: Eukaryota; Metazoa; Chordata; Mammalia; Perissodactyla; Equidae.